This 75-nucleotide ribosomal RNA is filed under the name Rhizobium giardinii. RNAcentral describes it as "Bacterial large subunit ribosomal RNA". It matches the Rfam family "Bacterial large subunit ribosomal RNA", at positions 2851 to 2925 of the family's 2925-position model. The record is from Rfam by way of RNAcentral. Lineage: Bacteria; Pseudomonadati; Pseudomonadota; Alphaproteobacteria; Hyphomicrobiales; Rhizobiaceae.
CGUUGAUAGGCCGGGUGUGGAAGCGCAGCAAUGUGUGAAGCUUACCGGUACUAAUCGUUCGAUUGGCUUGAUUGU